Molecule: ribosomal RNA, 473 nt
Filed under: uncultured organism
Description: partial 16S ribosomal RNA
Rfam family: Bacterial small subunit ribosomal RNA
Source: RNAcentral
ACACUCCUACGGGAGGCAGCAGUGGGGAAUAUUGCACAAUGGGCGCAAGCCUGAUGCAGCCAUGCCGCGUGUAUGAAGAAGGCCUUCGGGUUGUAAAGUACUUUCAGCGGGGAGGAAGGCAAUACGGUUAAUAACCGUGUUGAUUGACGUUACCUGCAGAAGAAGCACCGGCUAACUCCGUGCCAGCAGCCGCGGUAAUACGGAGGGUGCAAGCGUUAAUCGGAAUUACUGGGCGUAAAGCGCACGCAGGCGGUCUGUCAAGUCGGAUGUGAAAUCCCCGGGCUCAACCUGGGAACUGCAUUCGAAACUGGCAGGCUUGAGUCUUGUAGAGGGGGGUAGAAUUCCAGGUGUAGCGGUGAAAUGCGUAGAGAUCUGGAGGAAUACCGGUGGCGAAGGCGGCCCCCUGGACAAAGACUGACGCUCAGGUGCGAAAGCGUGGGGAGCAAACAGGAUUAGAAACCCCAGUAGUCCCA